UACGGGAGGCAGCAGUGGGGAAUAUUGCACAAUGGGCGCAAGCCUGAUGCAGCCAUGCCGCGUGUAUGAAAAAGGCCUUCGGGUUGUAAAGUACUUUCAGUCGUGAGGAAGGUGUUAAGGUUAAUAACCUUAGCAAUUGACGUUAGCGACAGAAGAAGCACCGGCUAACUCCGUGCCAGCAGCCGCGGUAAUACGGAGGGUGCGAGCGUUAAUCGGAAUUACUGGGCGUAAAGGGCACGCAGGCGGUUAAUUAAGUUGGAUGUGAAAUCCCCGGGCUUAACCUGGGAAUGGCAUUCAAGACUGGUUAGCUAGAGUCUUGUAGAGGGGGUAGAAUUCCAUGUGUAGCGGUGAAAUGCGUAGAGAUGUGGAGGAAUACCGGUGGCGAAGGCGGCCCCUGGGACAAAGACUGACGCUCAUGUGCGAAAGCGUGGGGAGCAAACG
This 441-nucleotide ribosomal RNA is filed under the name uncultured bacterium. RNAcentral's name for it is "bacterial SSU rRNA". It matches the Rfam family "Bacterial small subunit ribosomal RNA", at positions 340 to 774 of the family's 1533-position model. The record is from RNAcentral.